AACGUAGGACGCAAGCGUUAUCCGGAAUUACUGGGCGUAAAGCGCGUGCAGGCGGGUUGUUAAGUUCGGCGUGAAAGCUCCCGGCUAAACUGGGAGAGGUCGUCGGAUACUGGCAGUCUGGAGUACGGUAGAGGGAUGUGGAAUUCCGGGUGUAGUGGUGAAAUGCGUAGAGAUCCGGAGGAACACCAGUGGCGAAGGCGGCAUCCUGGACCGUAACUGACGCUGAGACGCGAAAGCAUGGGUAGCGAACGGG
This 253-nucleotide ribosomal RNA is filed under the name uncultured bacterium. RNAcentral describes it as "partial 16S ribosomal RNA". It matches the Rfam family "Bacterial small subunit ribosomal RNA", at positions 524 to 776 of the family's 1533-position model. The record is from RNAcentral.